GAUGGACGCUGGCGGCGUGCCUAAUACAUGCAAGUCGAGCGAACAGAUGAGGAGCUUGCUCCUCUGACGUUAGCGGCGGACGGGUGAGUAACACGUGGAUAACCUACCUAUAAGACUGGGAUAACUUCGGGAAACCGGAGCUAAUACCGGAUAAUAUAUUGAACCGCAUGGUUCAAUAGUGAAAGACGGUUUUGCUGUCACUUAUAGAUGGAUCCGCGCCGCAUUAGCUAGUUGGUAAGGUAACGGCUUACCAAGGCGACGAUGCGUAGCCGACCUGAGAGGGUGAUCGGCCACACUGGAACUGAGACACGGUCCAGACUCCUACGGGAGGCAGCAGUAGGGAAUCUUCCGCAAUGGGCGAAAGCCUGACGGAGCAACGCCGCGUGAGUGAUGAAGGUCUUCGGAUCGUAAAACUCUGUUAUUAGGGAAGAACAAAUGUGUAAGUAACUAUGCACGUCUUGACGGUACCUAAUCAGAAAGCCACGGCUAACUACGUG
Molecule: ribosomal RNA, 497 nt
Filed under: uncultured bacterium
Lineage: Bacteria
Description: partial 16S ribosomal RNA
Rfam family: Bacterial small subunit ribosomal RNA
Source: RNAcentral